CGCGAGAGUAGGCUAGGCCGCAGUUCGUCUGUAUUGCGGUGAGUGCAACUGUUCGAGCGGCGCCUUCUCGCCAAUUCAUUCAACUCCAGCAACCCAUAAAACAGAGGACAGGAGGCGGUCUGCGCUUUUACAUUGAACGGAGGACGACCACCUCUUUCUACGGCUCUGCAAGCUUCCCUUUUAAAUUGCGACACAUACUAUGCAGUCUUUGAGUGUCCCCCGAAGAUGGAGAGGGAACGUUUGUAAUGGCUUGAUCAGAGGAAGUCGGUCAGGGAGAUGGUUGAUGAAGACUAAAACAUUUUCCAGUACAUAAAUGGAAUAACAAUAUGUCAUCUAUUUUUAAAUACACCCUAGUCUUUUCACAGAAUCUUCCGUUUGGAUAUUGGUUAUGCUACAAAUAGGCUGUGGACGUGUUAGCUAAGUUGAGAUCCUCUCAAGCGCUGCCAGGUUGGAUGGGGAGCGUUGCGGCACAGCUAUUCUCAGGUCUCUCCAGAGACGUUCGAUCGGGUUCAAGUCCAGGCUCUGGCUGGCCCACUCAAGGAUAAUUUGCAAAUAAAUUCAUAAA
Long non-coding RNA from Oncorhynchus tshawytscha (Chinook salmon), 565 nucleotides. NCBI's taxonomy places the organism in Eukaryota, Metazoa, Chordata, Actinopteri, Salmoniformes, Salmonidae. The record is from Ensembl.